UACGUAGGGUGCAAGCGUUAAUCGGAAUUACUGGGCGUAAAGCGUGCGCAGGCGGUGAUGUAAGACAGGUGUGGAAAUCCCCGGGCUUAACCUGGGAACUGGCAUUUGUGACUGCAUCGCUGGAGUGCGGCAGAGGGGGAUGGAAUUCCGCGUGUAGCAGUGAAAUGCGUAGAUAUGCGGAGGAACACCGAUGGCGAAGGCAAUCCCCU
Molecule: ribosomal RNA, 209 nt
Filed under: uncultured bacterium
Lineage: Bacteria
Description: partial 16S ribosomal RNA
Rfam family: Bacterial small subunit ribosomal RNA
Source: RNAcentral